UACGUAGGUGACAAGCGUUGUCCGGAUUUACUGGGCGUAAAGAGCGCGCAGGCGGUCGAUCAAGUCGAGUGUGAAAGCCCCCGGCUCAACUGGGGAGGGUCAUUCGAUACUGAUCGACUCGAAGGCAGGAGAGGGUAGUGGAAUUCCCGGUGUAGUGGUGAAAUGCGUAGAUAUCGAGAGGAACACCGGUGGCGAAGGCGGCCUUCUGGACAGUGACUGACGCUGAGACGCGAAAGCGUGGGGAGCAAACAGG
This 253-nucleotide ribosomal RNA is filed under the name uncultured bacterium. RNAcentral describes it as "partial 16S ribosomal RNA". It matches the Rfam family "Bacterial small subunit ribosomal RNA", at positions 524 to 776 of the family's 1533-position model. The record is from RNAcentral.